GCCGGUCACUCUCCCCAAAUAUAGGCCUUACAAUAAAUAAAAAGAUACUCAAAAGAAGGGGAGGCAAGUCGUAACAUGGUAAGUGUACCGGAAGGUGCACU
Molecule: ribosomal RNA, 101 nt
Filed under: Glossolepis pseudoincisus (millenium rainbowfish)
Lineage: Eukaryota; Metazoa; Chordata; Actinopteri; Atheriniformes; Melanotaeniidae
Description: partial 12S ribosomal RNA
Source: RNAcentral